CUAUUAUCUAUCUUCUACAAAAGAGAGCAGGUCCUCAGUUUCUGCAACUUGAUUGACUUCAGUAAGUUUAAUAUAACCAAAGAUUUGAUUUUGUAUUUGGAGUCUUUCUGUUGGGGUCUUUUUCAAUCAGUUUUCACCUGUUGCAGAUGUGAAUUUCAGCUCACCAUCCUGAAGGGCCUUUCCAUACUAGCCAAAGACAAAAAAGAGGAAAUCGUGGGGAAGAUUUGCAUAUACAAGUUCAUGAAAACAGGCAGCAAGGAAGACAAGGGCCCCAGCCGUGCCUUCCACAAUGGAUACGACUACAACAUGAGCCUCACCAGGCAGAGGUGCCAGUCUAGCAUUAUCUGCUAUGAUCUAAGAAACACUUCACUCCUGCUUCAGGUGCAUUUUGUUUUAGAACUGAAAUACUUUGGUGGGCAAGAGAGGGUUUAAAAGAAAAGGAGCACCCAGACUGCUUGCCUAUCUGAGAUCUUGUUCCACUAGCCAGGUGGCUUUUG
Molecule: long non-coding RNA, 497 nt
Filed under: Anas platyrhynchos platyrhynchos (common mallard)
Lineage: Eukaryota; Metazoa; Chordata; Aves; Anseriformes; Anatidae
Description: lncRNA (ENSAPLG00000028779.1)
Source: RNAcentral